RNAcentral lists this ribosomal RNA (467 nucleotides) under uncultured bacterium. Its description in RNAcentral is "partial 16S ribosomal RNA". It matches the Rfam family "Bacterial small subunit ribosomal RNA", at positions 28 to 507 of the family's 1533-position model. The record is from RNAcentral.
GACGAACGCUGGCGGCGUGCUUAAUACAUGCAAGUCGAACGGAAAGGCGGUGCUUUUGUGGGGUGCUAGUGUGGCGAGCGGGUGUGUAACAUGUGUGUCAUCUGCCUUUGACUGGGGGAGACUUUCGGAAAAGAGGGGAAACCCCCGGAAAGUCCCACCACCUCAUUGUGGGGGGUUGAAAAAUUUGGAGGAUGGGGAUGGGCUUGCGGAAGAUUAGCUUGAUGGCGGGGUAACGGCCUACCAAGGCGUCGACGGGUAGGCGGCCUGAGAGGGUGACCGGCAACAUUGGGACUGAGCUACGGCCCGGACUCCUAAGGGAGGCAGCAGUAGGGGAUAAUGCAUGAAGGGCGGAAGCCGGAUGCAGGAACGCCGCGUGCGGGAUGGCGGCCUUCGGGUUGUAAGCCACUUUCGCCUGUAACGAAGCGUGAGUGACGGUACUGGAUAAAGAAGCACCGGCUAACUACGUG